RNAcentral lists this transfer RNA (74 nucleotides) under Fusarium falciforme. Its description in RNAcentral is "tRNA-Asn". It matches the Rfam family "tRNA". Rfam says of the family: Transfer RNA (tRNA) molecules are approximately 80 nucleotides in length. Their secondary structure includes four short double-helical elements and three loops (D, anti-codon, and T loops). Lineage: Eukaryota; Fungi; Ascomycota; Sordariomycetes; Hypocreales; Nectriaceae. The record is from RNAcentral.
UCCGUGAUAGUUUAAUGGUCAGAAUGGGCGCUUGUUUCGCGUGCCAGAUCGGGGUUCGAAUUCCCGUCGCGGAG